Jaculus jaculus (lesser Egyptian jerboa) is the source of this 1199-nucleotide long non-coding RNA. RefSeq lists it as uncharacterized. The record is from RefSeq and is a predicted model, not a curated record. Lineage: Eukaryota; Metazoa; Chordata; Mammalia; Rodentia; Dipodidae. The transcript has 2 exons.
AUCCCGCCUGUGCCAGGGCGUCCCCGAUGGACACCAGAGGUCGGAAUCUCAGCUGAGCGAGGUUGGUGGUUUGAUGUCUCCUUGGCCAAUUCCGGCUCUCAAGUGGAUCUGAUGCAUCCAGGGCUGAAGGCUGGCUAUCACUCAUGAACACAGACGACUGGUAUCUGACAUCUAGAUCUUUGUUCCUGGAUAUGGGAGAAAGUUGUCCAUAAUUGGGGUCUCUUAGUCCCUAUUACUGUGGGCAAGGAGGCAAAGAAACCUUCAAGCAAUACUAUUUUGGGGACUUAUCUUGUUUUGAAACUUGUAAGAAAGUUAUGGGCAAGGCUAUUUUGAAAAAAGGAAAAAGAAACAGAAAACUUAUCUACAUACCCCUUCCACACACACCCCCACUGGAUCCUGCUUCUCAAGGUUUUUAGCAUCAUUAAAACUUAUUUUGCUGAGUCCCCUUCCCUGCUUCUCUGGCAUUUCCUUCUCUGGCAUCAGAGGGAUAGACAACUUUCUAGUCGAUGGAGGAGGAGAGGAUCACAAGACCCUCACUUGGAAUUCCAGCAAUUUCUUCCUGCCCUCUCCCUGGCUGCAAGUGAUGUGAGAGAAGCUAGAGUACAUAAAAAAAGAAAAAAAAAGAAAAAACAGAAAGUCAACUGAGCAGCUUCCAUGAGCUCACCACGCAGGGUGGCAUGGGCCUUUGUGGAGGUGCAGCUGCCUUUGGGUACCCACACUCCUGUAAGUAGUGCCUCACUCGUGCUCUGUAGGUAACCCAUGAACUCAUUGGUUCAUGCAAACUUGACGUUAGUACAAUCAGACUUUGGUCUGUCAUCUGAGCCCUUUCUGGGGUGAAGAGAUAUGUGUCUGUAUGAAAAAAAACAAACAAACCAGCAACAAACAUUCCAUACGACACUUGGUGCUCAAAUGUGAAACACAACAGAAGCAGAGGCAGGGGGAUCGUCGUGAGUUCGAGGCCACCCUGUGACUACGUAGUGAAUUCCAGGUCAGCCUGAGCUGGAGCGAGACCCUACCUCAAAAAACCAAACCAAAACAACAACAAAAAACUACAAAACUGUUGGAGGAAGGAUUAGACAAUAUGUUGCAUUCUGUAAGAGUUGCCAGGAAGUCAUUAUGGAGUUGCAUGGCUACCUAAGGCUGGGGUGACUGCCCUGAGGGAACUUGUUUAUUUAUGUAAAAGAAGAGUUAGGCUGGAA